Molecule: non-coding RNA, 1478 nt
Organism: Pelobates cultripes (western spadefoot toad)
Lineage: Eukaryota; Metazoa; Chordata; Amphibia; Anura; Pelobatidae
Source: the annotation of a GenBank genome assembly
GGACGGUCGCAGGCAAAAGAAGCUCCUGCUACACAGCACCAAAUAUGACAAAAAAACCCCCAUAUCUUUCGCCAAAAAGCUGACCGACAGCUACAGGGCCCAAAGCAGAAGGCCUGCUGGAGCCAGGGAGAGGCUGGCUUACCAAGCUGCAGUCCCCUGGAGGAGAAAACUUUGAUGUCCCAACUGGGGCCUUCUUUGGCGGUGAGUGGGGCGGACGGCCGCCGCACCACUAUCCUGCCUCACAGCGCCCAGCCUGGGGCUCGAACCUGGGCGGACCCAGCCCUGUUCCCCCCCUGUGGACCGGGGGGGUGAUCCCGGUCCUCACCCGGAGGCAUGGCAGCCGGAGCGCAGGGGCGCCGCCAUCACACUCGAGGGCCCGACCGCAUCACACAAGAUGGCGGCUUCCACGUGCGCCGAAGUCAGCAGAAGGGAACGCAUAACAGCGGAGCUCAGAACACCCAGUGAAACAAACAGGCAUGGGCCCAGGAGGCCAGAGGAGUUGGCAGCUCCACUUCAUCGCAGCUCACCAAGUGAUUUCCUACCUGUACAAGCAAAUAGCCAUGAGAAAGGCAAGCAGCAGCGGAGGCCUACCGGACCUAAAGCGGCGGAUGCACCAGUAUGCCGGGACUCCGCUCCACACUCACGACCCUGCCGCCGAGCGAAGAGGGCCACACAGUGACACGCCAGAAUAUGCAACACCCACUGUUCAUCUCGGAGAACACUCUCCUCCCGAUUCCCAACAGAGGCAAGCUCAAGUGAUGCACCUGGAGAGACAUCGCUAGAACCUCAGCCUAAAAGGACAGUAACAUCGGGUCACGCCGACAUGCUGGAAAAGGCAUUGGCCGACCAUAUGUCCACUACCACCCACAAGGCACUGGACCCACCAUGCCGACGGUUCCUGAAGUGUGUGCAGACUUACGAACUUUUGAUCAGCCAGGGUGAUAUUAUACCUGUAGAUUGCUGCCUGGCCUUGACAUGUUUAAGUUUAUAUACUGAGCCUUUUGAAUAUAGCUUACCGCAUAAAUCUUUUUAUUUUAACACACAAAAUUGCUAGCAUUAAUGGCACACCAAAAAAUGCAGACAUUGUUAACCAACCUUCACUCAUGCAUAACUUGCAACAGAAUAGUUUUAAUCCAUAGUGUUAAUUAUGUGUUCCCCCACUCUGCCUGUACUUGUAAUAUGUCUCCUGUCUUCUCGGGUGAGCAACCUGGGAGUAAUCCUGGAUAAGCAACGCCAUCACACAAAACAUAGUAUAUGACCUAGCUACUUUCACUAGCGUCGAGCUAUACUUAUUAUUAAUCCUGGUUAGCCUAAAGAAUGACCUAAAUCACUAAGCAUGCUUAUAUAUAUAUCAAAAGAUUAAAAUCUACAUAUCAUAGCUUAGUAUGACAAUCAACUGUUAUGUACAUUGAAUACCACCACUGAAUCAUUUCUUGUAUUACUAAUGUACCUAUCUUGCUCGAACCAAAAAAAAAAAA